Molecule: long non-coding RNA, 903 nt
Filed under: Homo sapiens (human)
Lineage: Eukaryota; Metazoa; Chordata; Mammalia; Primates; Hominidae
Description: long non-coding RNA NONHSAT159210.1
Source: RNAcentral
CUCAUGGGCACCGUGGCCAAACAGCUGGUGCCCAGCUGCGUGACUGUGCAGCGCUGUGGUGGCUGCUGCCCUGACGAUGGCCUGGAGUGUGUGCCCACUGGGCAGCACCAAGUCCGGAUGCAGAUCCUCAUGAUCCGGUACCCGAGCAGUCAGCUGGGGGAGAUGUCCCUGGAAGAACACAGCCAGUGUGAAUGCAGACCUAAAAAAAAGGACAGUGCUGUGAAGCCAGACAGGGCUGCCACUCCCCACCACCGUCCCCAGCCCCGUUCUGUUCCGGGCUGGGACUCUGCCCCCGGAGCACCCUCCCCAGCUGACAUCACCCAUCCCACUCCAGCCCCAGGCCCCUCUGCCCACGCUGCACCCAGCACCACCAGCGCCCUGACCCCCGGACCUGCCGCUGCCGCUGCCGACGCCGCAGCUUCCUCCGUUGCCAAGGGCGGGGCUUAGAGCUCAACCCAGACACCUGCAGGUGCCGGAAGCUGCGAAGGUGACACAUGGCUUUUCAGACUCAGCAGGGUGACUUGCCUCAGAGGCUAUAUCCCAGUGGGGGAACAAAGAGGAGCCUGGUAAAAAACAGCCAAGCCCCCAAGACCUCAGCCCAGGCAGAAGCUGCUCUAGGACCUGGGCCUCUCAGAGGGCUCUUCUGCCAUCCCUUGUCUCCCUGAGGCCAUCAUCAAACAGGACAGAGUUGGAAGAGGAGACUGGGAGGCAGCAAGAGGGGUCACAUACCAGCUCAGGGGAGAAUGGAGUACUGUCUCAGUUUCUAACCACUCUGUGCAAGUAAGCAUCUUACAACUGGCUCUUCCUCCCCUCACUAAGAAGACCCAAACCUCUGCAUAAUGGGAUUUGGGCUUUGGUACAAGAACUGUGACCCCCAACCCUGAUAAAAGAGAUGGAAGGAGC